RNAcentral lists this non-coding RNA (148 nucleotides) under Chlorocebus sabaeus (green monkey). Lineage: Eukaryota; Metazoa; Chordata; Mammalia; Primates; Cercopithecidae. The record is from Rfam by way of RNAcentral.
GCCAGGUGUAGUGGCGUGUGCCUGUAAUCCCAGCUACCUGGGAGGCUGAGGCAGGAGAAUCACUGGAACUCGGGAGGCAGAGGCUGCAGUGAGCCGAGAUUGUGCCACUGCACUCCAGCCUAGGUGACACAGUGAGAUUCUGUCUCAA